RNAcentral lists this ribosomal RNA (253 nucleotides) under uncultured bacterium. RNAcentral's name for it is "partial 16S ribosomal RNA". It matches the Rfam family "Bacterial small subunit ribosomal RNA", at positions 524 to 776 of the family's 1533-position model. The record is from RNAcentral.
UACGUAGGGCGCAAACGUUGCUCGGAAUCAUUGGGCGUAAAGCGCGCGUAGGCGGUUACUUAAGUCGAAUGUGAAAGCCCUCGGCUUAACUGAGGAAGUGCAUCCGAAACUGAGUAGCUAGAGUACGAAAGAGGGUCGCGGAAUUCCCGGUGUAGAGGUGAAAUUCGUAGAUAUCGGGAGGAACACCGGUGGCGAAGGCGGCGACCUGGGUCGAGACUGACGCUGAGGCGCGAAAGCGUGGGGAGCAAACAGG